CCUUCUGGUUGAGUGACAUAUAUUUCUUCUUCCAGCUCUCCGUUCAGAAAUGCCGACUUCACGUCUAGAUGGUGUACCUCCCAGCCUUGAUUUGCUGCAAGUGCAAGAAUGACUCGAAUAGUAUCAAGUCUAGCGACAGCUGAAUCUUUCUUCAGUUUGAACACCCAUUUUAGGCCGAUAGGUUUGUGGCCUAAUGGGAGCUCAGUUAGGGUCCAGGUCUUGUUCAUCUCAAUAGUCUUCAGUUCUUCCUCCAUUGCUUCGUACCAGCAAGCCUCGGUUGCAGCUUCUUGGUAACAGUGUUGGCAUAGAUAUCGGCAAUGGACCUAUAACGGACUGGCCCUUCAUGAGACUCGGGUGAGGUAGUUGCUUGGGUGCUCGAUGAUGGUGUAGACGGAC
Molecule: long non-coding RNA, 396 nt
Organism: Zingiber officinale
Lineage: Eukaryota; Viridiplantae; Streptophyta; Magnoliopsida; Zingiberales; Zingiberaceae
Exons: 3
Source: RefSeq, a predicted model, not a curated record